Molecule: ribosomal RNA, 716 nt
Filed under: Arthrobacter sp. 2.2.5-06
Lineage: Bacteria; Bacillati; Actinomycetota; Actinomycetes; Micrococcales; Micrococcaceae
Description: bacterial SSU rRNA
Rfam family: Bacterial small subunit ribosomal RNA
Source: RNAcentral
CUUACACAUGCAGUCGAACGAUGAUCUCCAGCUUGCUGGGGGGAUUAGUGGCGAACGGGUGAGUAACACGUGAGUAACCUGCCCUUAACUCUGGGAUAAGCCUGGGAAACUGGGUCUAAUACCGGAUAUGACUCCUCAUCGCAUGGUGGGGGGUGGAAAGCUUUUUGUGGUUUUGGAUGGACUCGCGGCCUAUCAGCUUGUUGGUGAGGUAAUGGCUCACCAAGGCGACGACGGGUAGCCGGCCUGAGAGGGUGACCGGCCACACUGGGACUGAGACACGGCCCAGACUCCUACGGGAGGCAGCAGUGGGGAAUAUUGCACAAUGGGCGAAAGCCUGAUGCAGCGACGCCGCGUGAGGGAUGACGGCCUUCGGGUUGUAAACCUCUUUCAGUAGGGAAGAAGCGAAAGUGACGGUACCUGCAGAAGAAGCGCCGGCUAACUACGUGCCAGCAGCCGCGGUAAUACGUAGGGCGCAAGCGUUAUCCGGAAUUAUUGGGCGUAAAGAGCUCGUAGGCGGUUUGUCGCGUCUGCCGUGAAAGUCCGGGGCUCAACUCCGGAUCUGCGGUGGGUACGGGCAGACUAGAGUGAUGUAGGGGAGACUGGAAUUCCUGGUGUAGCGGUGAAAUGCGCAGAUAUCAGGAGGAACACCGAUGGCGAAGGCAGGUCUCUGGGCAUUAACUGACGCUGAGGAGCGAAAGCAUGGGGAGCGACAGAUA